Long non-coding RNA from Acanthochromis polyacanthus (spiny chromis), 1783 nucleotides. RefSeq lists it as uncharacterized. The record is from RefSeq and is a predicted model, not a curated record. The transcript has 3 exons. Lineage: Eukaryota; Metazoa; Chordata; Actinopteri; Pomacentridae.
UAAAAGCUUUUAAUGUUUUUACUAUAAGCAUCUUUUCUUUAUACAAUUUAUCAGUCUCUGUAGAGAGCAUCAAGAAUUGUCAUUGCUAACUAUAUUUCAAAUCAUUUAAAAAAAGUAAACAAGGCAAUGUCUACAACAGAUGUAUAGAUAUCUCAAUAGAAUACAACAUAAUUUCAUGAAAAAUAGAUCAACUGCUGGAAGAAAACUCAAAAAACUGCAAACAUUUAUUUGUAGAAGAUAAAUAUGACUUGUCAUUUAUUUCAUUGUCAAUAGAUCAGCCUAUCACAAGUUGUAGAUACUGACAAUGUGCCAACAAGUAUAACAUAACUGCUUUGUUUGUUAUACAUUUGUCUGUUUUACAAGGUUAACAGUCUCCGUAGAGACCAUCAAAAAUUGCCAUUGCUGACUAUAUUUCAAGUCAUCAAGGCGGGCAUUGGGUUAAAGUUUUCAACCAGCAAUAAUCACACCUCAGAUAAACCUCAUAGGUUAUGAUACUGCCACUGCGAAAGGAUGACUAAUACCAAGUACUGUGAGGGAGUCUCUAAUCUGUACAUACCCCUCUGCUAGGGUUUAACACUGCAGAAUGACUAAAGGAAAGCAGUCAGGCUACACUCAGGUCAUAGACAAAGACAGGGUGAGGCCUAGGCUGGAUGAGAUGAACAAUGAAAGCUCAGCAAUCAGGCAGUUAUCAGACGUCAUUCUGAGAAGGAGGCCAGAUAACACCACUUGAUUUUGAAUAUCUACUUCACACUCAUAGUGGUGUUGUUGGGCCUGGGCAUGUGAGAAUAUACCCCUCAGGCCUAAAUCUUUUUUUGUUUAUUCUUUUGCCAUUUUUUUUUUUUUUUUUACAAAAGGAGGAAUAAUGCAUAAAACAACUUUUCAAGACUUGAAAAGGGUUUUGUCACUCAAAUUAUUGUUACAUUCAAUUACUGAAAAAAAGUAUUUCCAAUAUACACCUUUACAUUUGAUUCUAUCAGUGUAGAUCAUUUAAAUAAGACCAAUUCCAAGACACACACUACACAGACCACUGGUCUUGCUGCCUGCUCUGGCUGUAAUGGAACAUGUCCUGACUAUAAAAGAAAGCACAUCUGAUAUUUUAUUUUCAUUUUAACCUUAAAUUACUCUAAAACUGCACAGUUACCAAGAUUUAGUACAGGCCAUGAUUUAUCAAGACCUUGACAACACUAUUGAUUGAGAAUCUUACUCAUGUCAUUAACAUGUAAUUCUAUUGAGUCCUUCCUGUGCUUCAAACCAGUCAUACAGGGAGACUAAUUAGAUAAGUUUUCUUUUACAAUGUAUCAGUCUCCAUAGAGACUACCAAAAAUUGCCAUUGCUGACUAUAUUUCAAGUCAUCAAGGCGGGUAUUGGGUUAAAGUUUUCAACCAGCAAUAAUCACACCUCAGAUAAACCUCAUAGGUUAUGAUACUGCCACUGCAAAAGGAUGACUACUACCAAGUACUGUGAGGGAGUCUCUAAUCUGUACAUACCCCUCUGCUAGGGUUUAACACUGCAGAAUGAACUAAAGGAAAGCAGUCAGGCUACACUCAGGUCAUAGACAAAGACAGGGUGAGGCCUUGGCUGGAUGAGACAAAAGCUCAGAAAGUAGGCAAUUAUCAGGCUUCAUUCAAUGAGGACUAGGCCAGAUUAACACCACUUGAUUCUGAAUAAUUACUUCACUCACUGUCACACAGUGGUGUUGUUUGGCCUGGGCAUCUGAUGGCACACUCUUCAAGAAAUAGUUUCAGACCUAGCUCUGUGUUUUUUUUGGUAAAAUGGCCUUCUU